GCCAACUCAGUGGGUUAGAGCAUGGUGUUGGUAACGCCAACAUCACAGGUUCAAUCCCCAUAAGAGACA
This is a non-coding RNA of Podarcis lilfordi (Lilford's wall lizard), 69 nucleotides long. Lineage: Eukaryota; Metazoa; Chordata; Lepidosauria; Squamata; Lacertidae. The record is from the annotation of a GenBank genome assembly.